This 562-nucleotide ribosomal RNA is filed under the name Clavispora lusitaniae. Its description in RNAcentral is "eukaryotic LSU rRNA". It matches the Rfam family "Eukaryotic large subunit ribosomal RNA", at positions 38 to 667 of the family's 3401-position model. The record is from RNAcentral. Lineage: Eukaryota; Fungi; Ascomycota; Pichiomycetes; Serinales; Metschnikowiaceae.
GCAUAUCAAUAAGCGGAGGAAAAGAAACCAACAGGGAUUGCCCCAGUAACGGCGAGUGAAGCGGCAAAAGCUCAAAUUUGAAAUCCUGCGGGAAUUGUAAUUUGAAGGUUUCGUGGUCUGAGUCGGCCGCGCCCAAGUCCAUUGGAACAUGGCGCCUGGGAGGGUGAGAGCCCCGUAUGGCGCACGCCGACUCUUUGCACCGCGGCUCCGACGAGUCGAGUUGUUUGGGAAUGCAGCUCUAAGUGGGUGGUAAAUUCCAUCUAAAGCUAAAUAUUGGCGAGAGACCGAUAGCGAACAAGUACAGUGAUGGAAAGAUGAAAAGCACUUUGAAAAGAGAGUGAAACAGCACGUGAAAUUGUUGAAAGGGAAGGGCUUGCAAGCAGACACGGUUUUACCGGGCCAGCGUCGAAAAGGGGGGAGGAACAAGAACUCGAGAAUGUGGCGCGCACCUUCGGGUGCGCGUGUUAUAGCUCGUGUUGACGCCUCCAUCCUUUUUCGAGGCCUGCGAUUCUAGGACGCUGGCGUAAUGGUUGCAAGCCGCCCGUCUUGAAACACACGGACC